Molecule: long non-coding RNA, 243 nt
Filed under: Elaeis guineensis (African oil palm)
Lineage: Eukaryota; Viridiplantae; Streptophyta; Magnoliopsida; Arecales; Arecaceae
Description: long non-coding RNA (EGUI_LNC022380)
Source: RNAcentral
UCUAUAAAUACUCUGCUAUUUAAUAAACACCAAGUAGCUGCCUUUCCAGCCUCUUUUAUCAUUAAAAAAAAAAUUAACAAAUUUCUUAUUUAUUUAUUUUUUUCUUUUGUGUCACAACUUGGUGACCUUCCCACAUUUGGUCAAAAAGCACCCGAACUUCUCUUUAAUCCUUUUUAUUACAAUCUACGAGAAUAUAAAUUUCUACUCUCGACCUUUUAGACUGAUCGCGAGGGGACUUGACAC